UACGUAGGUGGCGAGCGUUUGUCCGGAUUUACUGGGCGUAAAGCGCGUGUAGGCGGCCGUGCAAGUCGGGUGUGAAAGCCCUCGGCUCAACCGAGGAAGUGCGCCCGAAACUGCAUGGCUUGAGUACCAGAGAGGAUGGCGGAAUUCCCCAAGUAGAGGUGAAAUUCGUAGAUAUGGGGAGGAACACCGGUGGCGAAGGCGGCCAUCUGGACGGAUACUGACGCUGAGACGCGAAAAGCGUGGAGGAGCAAACAGGU
This 257-nucleotide ribosomal RNA is filed under the name uncultured bacterium. RNAcentral's name for it is "partial 16S ribosomal RNA". It matches the Rfam family "Bacterial small subunit ribosomal RNA", at positions 524 to 777 of the family's 1533-position model. The record is from RNAcentral.